RNAcentral lists this ribosomal RNA (238 nucleotides) under uncultured bacterium. RNAcentral's name for it is "partial 16S ribosomal RNA". It matches the Rfam family "Bacterial small subunit ribosomal RNA", at positions 15 to 236 of the family's 1533-position model. The record is from RNAcentral.
GAUCCUAGCUCAGGAUGAACGCUGGCGGCGUGCCUAACACAUGCAAGUCGAGCGAGAAGCUCAUCACAGAUGCUUCGGUUGAAGUGAUGAGUGGAAAGCGGCGGACGGGUGAGUAACGCGUAGGCAACCUGCCCUUUGCAGAGGGAUAGCCUCGGGAAACCGGGAUUAAAACCUCAUAACACCUCUUAAAGACAUCUUUGAGAGGUCAAAGAUUUAUCGGCAAAGGAUGGGCCUGCGU